Molecule: ribosomal RNA, 472 nt
Filed under: uncultured organism
Description: partial 16S ribosomal RNA
Rfam family: Bacterial small subunit ribosomal RNA
Source: RNAcentral
ACUCCUGCGGGAGGCAGCAGUGGGGAAUAUUGCACAAUGGGCGCAAGCCUGAUGCAGCCAUGCCGCGUGUAUGAAGAAGGCCUUCGGGUUGUAAAGUACUUUCAGCGGGGAGGAAGGCGAUAAGGUUAAUAACCUUGUCGAUUGACGUUACCCGCAGAAGAAGCACCGGCUAACUCCGUGCCAGCAGCCGCGGUAAUACGGAGGGUGCAAGCGUUAAUCGGAAUUACUGGGCGUAAAGCGCACGCAGGCGGUCUGUCAAGUCGGAUGUGAAAUCCCCGGGCUCAACCUGGGAACUGCAUUCGAAACUGGCAGGCUAGAGUCUUGUAGAGGGGGGUAGAAUUCCAGGUGUAGCGGUGAAAUGCGUAGAGAUCUGGAGGAAUACCGGUGGCGAAGGCGGCCCCCUGGACAAAGACUGACGCUCAGGUGCGAAAGCGUGGGGAGCAAACAGGAUUAGAUACCCCUGGUAGUCCCA